RNAcentral lists this transfer RNA (71 nucleotides) under Papilio machaon (common yellow swallowtail). It matches the Rfam family "tRNA". Rfam says of the family: Transfer RNA (tRNA) molecules are approximately 80 nucleotides in length. Their secondary structure includes four short double-helical elements and three loops (D, anti-codon, and T loops). The record is from Rfam by way of RNAcentral. Lineage: Eukaryota; Metazoa; Arthropoda; Insecta; Lepidoptera; Papilionidae.
GCAUCGGUGGCUCAGGGGGUAAAGCACUUGACUUGUAAUCUGCAGAUUCUGGGUUCGAAUCCCCCCAUGUU